UACGAAGGGUGCAAACGUUGCUCGGAAUUAUUGGGCGUAAAGCGCACGUAAGCGGCUUUUCAAGUCGGAUGUGUAAUCCCUCGGCUUAACCAAGGAAGUGCAUCCGAAACUGGAGAGCUUGAGUACUUAAGAGGAUCGCGGAAUUCCCGGUGUAGAGGUGAAAUUCGUAGAUAUCGGGAGGAACACCAGUGGCGAAGGCGGCGAUCUGGGAAGAUACUGACGCUGAGGUGCGAAAGCGUGGGGAGCAAACAGG
This 253-nucleotide ribosomal RNA is filed under the name uncultured bacterium. Its description in RNAcentral is "partial 16S ribosomal RNA". It matches the Rfam family "Bacterial small subunit ribosomal RNA", at positions 524 to 776 of the family's 1533-position model. The record is from RNAcentral.